This 351-nucleotide transfer-messenger RNA is filed under the name Clostridia bacterium. It matches the Rfam family "transfer-messenger RNA". From Rfam's summary of the family: Bacterial tmRNA, also known as 10Sa RNA or SsrA, is named for its dual tRNA and mRNA-like properties. Its role is to liberate the mRNA from a stalled ribosome. The record is from RNAcentral. Lineage: Bacteria; Bacillati; Bacillota; Clostridia.
GGGCCCGUACUCGGUUUCGACGGGGGUACGGAAGGGCAGAGAAGCGAGCGGCAGCCCUGGACUGCCUCAUCAACGGGAUUUAAAAUGAACUGACAACUACGAUAACGUAGCUUUCGCUGCUUAAUCAGCGAUCGUCGGCCCUGAGCCUCCUGCGGCGCGGGUCACCGGCGUCAUAAAGGCAGGGAACCAGCCGCCUUAAGCUUUGCGGGCGGUGGGAUUUUAUGAAGCUACUGAAGGGGGAAUCCUGUCUGCGGGAGUCCUCCGGAGGGAAUGUCAAAACACAGACUGCGCUCGGAGAUGCUCUGGUCGUCUGAUCUUCGGACAGGGGUUCGACUCCCCUCGGGUCCACCA